UACGAGGGGAGCAAGCGUUGUUCGGAUUUACUGGGCGUAAAGGGCGCGUAGGCGGUCGUGACAAGUCACUUGUGAAAUCUCCGGGCUUAACUCGGAACGGUCAAGUGAUACUGUCGGACUAGAGUACAGAAGGGGCAACUGGAAUUCUCGGUGUAGCGGUGAAAUGCGUAGAUAUCGGGAGGAACACCAGUGGCGAAGGCGGCUGCCUGGGCCAGUUCUGACGCUGAGGCGCGAAAGCGUGGGGAGCAAACAGG
This 254-nucleotide ribosomal RNA is filed under the name uncultured bacterium. RNAcentral's name for it is "partial 16S ribosomal RNA". It matches the Rfam family "Bacterial small subunit ribosomal RNA", at positions 524 to 776 of the family's 1533-position model. The record is from RNAcentral.